Molecule: long non-coding RNA, 1511 nt
Organism: Esox lucius (northern pike)
Lineage: Eukaryota; Metazoa; Chordata; Actinopteri; Esociformes; Esocidae
Source: Ensembl
AACUGCUUGAUAGUCACUGGCGGUCUGUCUGUUUUUAUGCUGUGUUGAGGAUGGUGUUAACGUAAGGCGGGGCUUCAGGGUCUUACAUCAGUCAACUGUCUGCAGUCACAAUCGACCCCGCUGACAUUUUCCGGAAAUAGCUCCAAUCUAACAGUCAUACUCUCUCAGCCCCUCGACAACUUUAAACAGUACAUCUACUGUAUUGUGUCCCUUGUUUCGGCCCCAAAUAAAACACUUUUCGAAAGAUUCCCCAUAAUCCGGCAUUAAAAACCAUUUGAUCAGUCACACCAGCCUAAAACACAUGGCCUUCGGGUAAUUCAUAAAAUGCCACCUCCGGUAGCUCUGGGUUGAAAAUGUAUCCACUGAUCCGACCAUCCAAUCCCCAUUCCUGUGCCAACAUAUCCUGGUGUAAUUGAUGCAUUCGGGUUAAACUCUGCAUAGGUUUCUUCGGGGCUGGCAUGUUGAUUGCAUCUCUGCGGUCCAUUUGUAAUUUCUUACCAAAUCGCUGAGCGGUGUUUAAGAUGUUAGCUUUCACCGGUGUUUGACCCAAAACAUUGAUCGCAGCACAAUCCUCCAUGUUUUGUAUUGUGUAGGUAAGUUUGUUCAGGCAAGAAUUAAUGACCAUCACCGAUGUCUGCGUGAUUUAAAUACGCAAACCACGCCUACAACCCAAAAAACAUGAAAGGUUAACCACCACCGGUUGUAGGCCAUCUGUUGCACCACUUGUCAGAAGAUUAAACACAGGGGGUUUUAGAUCUGACGAACACCAUUUGUUUAACAUCAAACAGCUUACCGCUGACACAACAAUUAUUUACUGCAUGGGAAUUUAACAUUCCGAAACCCUGACGGCCAUUUGUUAAUCAUCAAACAUAACCCACCUGUUAUAACACUAGUCUGUUUUGCACAUCAGACGUUGUAAAACAUCAAACACGGACACAUCAAUGUAAUCAUAAAUCACAAAGUCACCGGACAUGCUUAUGUCACUCCACGUCAUACAGGAAGUCGCACCCUAACAUACAUCUUACAGGAUGUCCCACCCUACAUACUGGAUGUCCUGCCCACCUGUCACAUCAAUAUGGAAGUCCCGCCCUCCCAGGCCAUAAAUCACCAUUCUGACAUAUUAUACCCUACAUUAACUACUGUUAUUGAGAACCCCCGGAGAUCAUACAGAGUAAAUCACCAUAAUGGAUUCAGUUACAGACACCAACCGUGUGGCUGCACAACAUCAGGGGAUUUUUGAUAAAAAAAAGUUAUUUCCUGCUUGAAAGCUGAAGGUAAUACAUAUUUUACCGUAAAAUCAUCAAAACUGUGAUGCAUUUAAAUGUAUGUUUGAGUUAGAAUAUUUUAACCUGUAAGUGGAUCAUUAUUUACACGUUAAGCUAUAGAAAUGGAGAAAGAUAAUGCUAACAGACCAGACACGGAACAACCAACAAAAUCUACACAUAAAUCAACAGACCACACCCCAAAAUACAAAUGAACCGGCCAUUACAUUGUUAAACAGCGAUGCACAC